This 253-nucleotide ribosomal RNA is filed under the name uncultured bacterium. Its description in RNAcentral is "partial 16S ribosomal RNA". It matches the Rfam family "Bacterial small subunit ribosomal RNA", at positions 524 to 776 of the family's 1533-position model. The record is from RNAcentral.
UACGUAGGGUGCGAGCGUUAAUCGGAAUUACUGGGCGUAAAGCGUGCGCAGGCGGCUUGCCAAGUCAGAUGUGAAAGCCCCGGGCUCAACCCGGGAACUGCGUUUGAAACUGGCAGGCUAGAGUUUGGCAGAGGGGGGUGGAAUUCCACGUGUAGCAGUGAAAUGCGUAGAGAUGUGGAGGAACACCGAUGGCGAAGGCGGGUCUCUGGGCCGAUACUGACACUGAGAAGCGAAAGCGUGGGGAGCGAACAGG